This 677-nucleotide long non-coding RNA is filed under the name Homo sapiens (human). RNAcentral describes it as "HSALNT0046878". The record is from RNAcentral. Lineage: Eukaryota; Metazoa; Chordata; Mammalia; Primates; Hominidae.
GGGAUCGGGGAAAAGGAAAAAAUUGUGAGAAACUAAACAGACGUCACCUUUUUCAUAUUUUUGAGCUUGACUGGAAUCAAGAUUUCACAUGGCACCUCGAGGACAGGAUUAUUAAUAGCCUUUGUGUCAGCCUGAUGGUAAAGCUUUCUCUUUGAAUCCUUUGUAUAGUUGCUUUUCCUUCAGAAAGACCAUCCCAUUUACUCAUCAUGUGGCUUUCCUGAUGGGGGUUCUGUGAGAGUGCUGAGCCCGGAUGCCCAAGGCUUCCACUGCGUGUAAUGAAUUAGCUCCCACUACCACACAGCUAUCCUGGAACUAGCUAAGAACCACCCAUGGGAGAACUGGGAGAAUCGUCAUUUGAAUCAUUUCCUGUGUUCUGUGGUUCAGGUGAAGGAUGCAAGAUGAGAAAGAUGAAAUCCUCUAAUAUGGAAAACAGAUUAGCAGUAGGCAGGGAAUGGCAACCAGAGGUAGAAGAUUUUAAAAAUUAAGGGAAAGGUUUGGUGCAGGGAGGCAAGGUGAGAUCAUGGGCUUUGUAUCAACCCAGCUAUGCUACUUACUGUCUACGCCACAUGAGAAAGUGACUUAGCUUCUAUAAAUCUGAACUUCUUCAUCUGUGAAAUAGAAAUAAUGUAGCCUACUUCCUAAUAUCUGUGUAAAGAUUAAACAGGAUAACAUAUAAG